RNAcentral lists this ribosomal RNA (1843 nucleotides) under Escherichia coli. RNAcentral describes it as "partial 23S ribosomal RNA". It matches the Rfam family "Bacterial large subunit ribosomal RNA", at positions 1116 to 2925 of the family's 2925-position model. The record is from RNAcentral. Lineage: Bacteria; Pseudomonadati; Pseudomonadota; Gammaproteobacteria; Enterobacterales; Enterobacteriaceae.
CCAUCAUUUAAAGAAAGCGUAAUAGCUCACUGGUCGAGUCGGCCUGCGCGGAAGAUGUAACGGGGCUAAACCAUGCACCGAAGCUGCGGCAGCGACACUAUGUGUUGUUGGGUAGGGGAGCGUUCUGUAAGCCUGUGAAGGUGUGCUGUGAGGCAUGCUGGAGGUAUCAGAAGUGCGAAUGCUGACAUAAGUAACGAUAAAGCGGGUGAAAAGCCCGCUCGCCGGAAGACCAAGGGUUCCUGUCCAACGUUAAUCGGGGCAGGGUGAGUCGACCCCUAAGGCGAGGCCGAAAGGCGUAGUCGAUGGGAAACAGGUUAAUAUUCCUGUACUUGGUGUUACUGCGAAGGGGGGACGGAGAAGGCUAUGUUGGCCGGGCGACGGUUGUCCCGGUUUAAGCGUGUAGGCUGGUUUUCCAGGCAAAUCCGGAAAACCAAGGCUGAGGCGUGAUGACGAGGCACUACGGUGCUGAAGCGACAAAUGCCCUGCUUCCAGGAAAAGCCUCUAAGCAUCAGGUAACAUCAAAUCGUACCCCAAACCGACACAGGUGGUCAGGUAGAGAAUACCAAGGCGCUUGAGAGAACUCGGGUGAAGGAACUAGGCAAAAUGGUGCCGUAACUUCGGGAGAAGGCACGCUGAUAUGUAGGUGAAGCGACUUGCUCGUGGAGCUGAAAUCAGUCGAAGAUACCAGCUGGCUGCAACUGUUUAUUAAAAACACAGCACUGUGCAAACACGAAAGUGGACGUAUACGGUGUGACGCCUGCCCGGUGCCGGAAGGUUAAUUGAUGGGGUUAGCGGUAACGCGAAGCUCUUGAUCGAAGCCCCGGUAAACGGCGGCCGUAACUAUAACGGUCCUAAGGUAGCGAAAUUCCUUGUCGGGUAAGUUCCGACCUGCACGAAUGGCGUAAUGAUGGCCAGGCUGUCUCCACCCGAGACUCAGUGAAAUUGAACUCGCUGUGAAGAUGCAGUGUACCCGCGGCAAGACGGAAAGACCCCGUGAACCUUUACUAUAGCUUGACACUGAACAUUGAGCCUUGAUGUGUAGGAUAGGUGGGAGGCUUUGAAGUGUGGACGCCAGUCUGCAUGGAGCCGACCUUGAAAUACCACCCUUUAAUGUUUGAUGUUCUAACGUUGGCCCGUAAUCCGGGUUGCGGACAGUGUCUGGUGGGUAGUUUGACUGGGGCGGUCUCCUCCUAAAGAGUAACGGAGGAGCACGAAGGUUGGCUAAUCCUGGUCGGACAUCAGGAGGUUAGUGCAAUGGCAUAAGCCAGCUUGACUGCGAGCGUGACGGCGCGAGCAGGUGCGAAAGCAGGUCAUAGUGAUCCGGUGGUUCUGAAUGGAAGGGCCAUCGCUCAACGGAUAAAAGGUACUCCGGGGAUAACAGGCUGAUACCGCCCAAGAGUUCAUAUCGACGGCGGUGUUUGGCACCUCGAUGUCGGCUCAUCACAUCCUGGGGCUGAAGUAGGUCCCAAGGGUAUGGCUGUUCGCCAUUUAAAGUGGUACGCGAGCUGGGUUUAGAACGUCGUGAGACAGUUCGGUCCCUAUCUGCCGUGGGCGCUGGAGAACUGAGGGGGGCUGCUCCUAGUACGAGAGGACCGGAGUGGACGCAUCACUGGUGUUCGGGUUGUCAUGCCAAUGGCACUGCCCGGUAGCUAAAUGCGGAAGAGAUAAGUGCUGAAAGCAUCUAAGCACGAAACUUGCCCCGAGAUGAGUUCUCCCUGAGACUUAGAGUCUCCUGAAGGAACGUUGAAGACGACGACGUUGAUAGGCCGGGUGUGUAAGCGCAGCGAUGCGUUGAGCUAACCGGUACUAAUGAACCGUGAGGCUUAACCUUACAACGCCGAAG